GUGCCAGCAGCCGCGGUAAUACGGAGAGUGCAAGCAUUAAUCGGAAUUAUUGGGCGUAAAGGGCGCGUAGGCGGGAGAAUAAGUCAGAUGUGAAAUUCCAAAGCUCAACUUUGGAGCUGCAUUUGAAACUAUAAUUCUAGAGGAUUGACGGGGAAAACGGAAUUCCACGUGUAGCGGUGAAAUGCGUAGAUAUGUGGAAGAACACCUGUGGCGAAAGCGGUUUUCUAGUUAAUACCUGACGCUGAGGCGCGAGAGCAAGGGGAGCAAACAGGAUUAGAAACCCUCGUAGUCC
This 292-nucleotide ribosomal RNA is filed under the name uncultured bacterium. RNAcentral describes it as "partial 16S ribosomal RNA". It matches the Rfam family "Bacterial small subunit ribosomal RNA", at positions 505 to 796 of the family's 1533-position model. The record is from RNAcentral.